UCAGUUAGUCUACAACUUGUUAUAUAUAUAUAUAAAUAACUGUAGUAUUUUAGCUUAGUUUAGUAACACAUAAAAGUAGUGGGCGCAGCAGAAACUUAUAAAGGCUUAUAUGAAAACCACCGGGAACGCCCCAAAAUACUUAUAUAUUUAAAUGCAUAUUGCACCGCCAGCAUCGCUGUUUCUUCGCUCGCCGCUUUUAAAUCUCCCGGUAGACCAGUGACCGCAAGGCUUUAUGGGUACAUGGGGAGCGUGGAGGAUACAUACAGUGGUGUUCAAAAUAAUAGCAGUCCAAUGUGACUAACCAGAUUAAUCCAGGUUUUUAGUAUAUUUUUAUUGCUACAUGGCAAACAAGGUACCAGUAGGUGCAGUACAUUCUCAGAAAACCAACAAGACCCAGCAUUGGUGAUAUGCAGCUCUUAAGGCUGUGACAUUGGGCAAUUUGUUGAAAGGGGCGUGUUCAAAAAAAUAGCAGUGUCUGCCGUUGACUUUACAAACUCAAAACUUCAGAUUUUUUUUUUCUUAAAAUUCUUCAGAUUCAGCCGUUUGAGGAUCCUUCAAUGACUUUGGGAUACAGCCAGGGUUUCUGGAAAGUGUUGACAUGUUUGGCUGAGCUACUGUCCUUAAGAGGGUGAUUCUGUGCAAAUGAGGAGAGGUUGUGAUCUGUGGAUUGGUGGUUUACCUCGGAGAAAAGGAGGAGAAUCUCUUUAAAGAGCAUUUGGUUGAUGGAGAUCUCACCACUGAAGUGUUGAAGAUCAUUGUAACCAGAGGUGCCACGUCUGAUCCAGCCAGCGCACAGAUUGUGAUUGAGGGAACAGAAGACCUGAAAGAUGUAGACGUACCCA
Centropristis striata (black sea bass) is the source of this 842-nucleotide long non-coding RNA. RefSeq lists it as uncharacterized. The record is from RefSeq and is a predicted model, not a curated record. NCBI's taxonomy places the organism in Eukaryota, Metazoa, Chordata, Actinopteri, Perciformes, Serranidae. The transcript has 3 exons.